RNAcentral lists this long non-coding RNA (521 nucleotides) under Anser cygnoides (Swan goose). Its description in RNAcentral is "lncRNA (ENSACDG00005007785.1)". Lineage: Eukaryota; Metazoa; Chordata; Aves; Anseriformes; Anatidae. The record is from RNAcentral.
GCAGGGGCUGGGGAAGGGGGCGCGUCAAAAGAUGGUGGUUGUGGGGGUGGGGGCGUGGAAGGAUGGUGGCCACGGGGUUGGGGACACAAAAGGAUGGUGGCCAUGGGUUGGGGACGUGGAAGAAUGGUGGCCGUGGGGUUGGAGAACACCAAAAGAUGGCGGCCAUGGGGCUUGUGCGUGGAGGGAUGGUGGCCACGGGGUCGGGGACGUGGAAGGAUGGUGGCCACGGGGUUGGGGAAUGGGGUUGGAGAAUAUCGAAAAUGGCGGCCGUGGGGUUGGAGAACACCAAAAGAUGGUGGCCACGGGGUUGGGGACGUGGAAGGAUGGUGGCCACGGGGUUGGGGAAUGGGGUUGGAGCAUAUCAAAAUGGUGGCCACAGGGUUGGGGACAUGGAAGGACGGUGGCCAUGGGGGUUGGAGAACACCGAAAGGUGCUGGCCACGUGGCUGGGGAACGUGGAAGAAUGGUGGCCGUGGGGUUGGGGAUACGGAAGGAUGGUGGCCACCGUCAAAAGAUGGUGGU